AACAAGAAAACUCCCCUUUUCCCUCUCUCCUAUUUUUUAUUCUUUCUUUUCACAAAACAGAGCCAUCUCCCCUGUUUGAUUUUCUUUUUGAUUUUCUUUCUUCUCUCCCAAACCGAGCCCUCUCCCCUGUUCUUCUCUUUUCUGUGGACCCGCCGGCCCCCUUCUUCUUCCUUCUUUUCAACAGCCGAGCACCACCUCCUUUUAUAGCUCGCCCCCACCUUGAAGCCGGCUUGAGAAUCAAAACGGUGGCGGGAUCACGGACGCGUCAUGGACAACGGACGAGGCUGAAAUGUCGGGAUUAGCAUCCGCAUCAUGGGCGGAAGCAGAGGCAGAGGGGGGUCUUGAAUCCGGAAGGGAGAAGCGGGGAUUUCUCGGAGGAAGGCGUGGAAGCUUGAUCCGUGGCGUGUGGGGGAGAAUCACGGGCGGACAUCUCGAAUGGCCGGAUCCUUGGACGCGGACGCGGGAGCUUGAUCCGUGGAGGG
This 482-nucleotide long non-coding RNA is filed under the name Phoenix dactylifera (date palm). RNAcentral's name for it is "long non-coding RNA (PDAC_LNC011706)". Lineage: Eukaryota; Viridiplantae; Streptophyta; Magnoliopsida; Arecales; Arecaceae. The record is from RNAcentral.